This 153-nucleotide unclassified non-coding RNA is filed under the name sea anemone metagenome. Its description in RNAcentral is "partial contains small subunit ribosomal RNA and internal transcribed spacer 1". It matches the Rfam family "Eukaryotic small subunit ribosomal RNA", at positions 1679 to 1827 of the family's 1831-position model. The record is from RNAcentral.
CUACUACCGAUUGAAUGGUUUAGUGAGGACUCCUGAUUGGCGCCGCCGCCCCGGCAACGGAGCAGCGGUCUGCCGAAAAGUUGUUCAAACUUGAUCAUUUAGAGGAAGUAAAAGUCGUAACAAGGUUUCCGUAGGUGAACCUGCAGAAGGAUC